GGAGGUGUACCCUGUCCGGGGGAGGUGUACUCUGUCCGGGGGAGGUGUACUCUCUCCGGGGGAGGCGUACCCUCUUCGUAGGUGUCAGGUCUCCGAAAAUCACAUCCUUCGCUGACUCCCCGGUCCAGAAAACCCUGAUCGCAAAUUAGGUUACCUCCUAGAAUUUCGUUGAUGAUCGUCCUCCUUCAAACUCCCGAUGGAGAUAUCGUCCUUUUUCUGAAAAAGUAGAUGAAGGUCUCCUCCUCUUUUGUGCUCUAGCCAUCGCCCUGCCGGAAAACGCUCCUCCUCUACGUGCGAAUCUCCGUCGUGUGACAUCUCUUCCUCCUAAGAUGAAGAUCUUGAAUAGCCCCUCCUUCUAGCGCCAAUUUGUUGAUAGAGGAAUUUGGUAAUCAACAAAGAUGAGGUUCACGGCCGGAAUCAAGAUCCGUGACGGUGGUUUUGGUCGCCGGAGAGUGGUGGUUGUUUGUUUUAGGGGGUGGCUGAGAUUAGGGUUUUGAGUUGGUCUCACGUGCUCUCAACUCAUGAUCCCCCAAUGUGCCUACGUACCCCUAUAUUUAUAGGGGAUCAAGCCAUACGUAGUUCUAUUGAACCAGGAGUCCUAGUUUGAUCAGGACUAGGCCUCUUGGCGAUAAGGUCGGAGAUAGGCCGAAGGCCCAUCUUGGAGAAUCCUACUCCUGUUAGAAUUAGUCUUGAGUAUGACUACCUCAGACUCCUAAUCCAAAUAGAUCACGGAUUCAACGAUAUCUCCACUACGAGAGAUAGCAUCUACCACGACUCUUAUGGAGAAGUUAUCUGGGGGAGCCAUGACUAACCCCUCGAGGUGCAGGGAC
Molecule: long non-coding RNA, 830 nt
Filed under: Daucus carota (carrot)
Lineage: Eukaryota; Viridiplantae; Streptophyta; Magnoliopsida; Apiales; Apiaceae
Description: long non-coding RNA (DCAR_LNC004085)
Source: RNAcentral